Molecule: ribosomal RNA, 615 nt
Filed under: uncultured archaeon
Lineage: Archaea
Description: bacterial SSU rRNA
Rfam family: Archaeal small subunit ribosomal RNA
Source: RNAcentral
GAUGGCGCACGGCUCAGUAACACGUAGUCAAUCUACCCUGAGGACGGGGAUAACCCCGGGAAACUGGGGAUAAACCCCGAUAGGUCAUAGCUCCUGGAAUGGGCUAUGGCUCAAAUCUAUAUGGCCUUAGGAUGGGACUGCGUCCGAUCAGGUUGUUGGUGGGGUAAUGGCCCACCAAGCCUAUAACCGGUACGGGCUCUGAGAGGAGGAGCCCGGAGAUGGGCACUGAGACAAGGGCCCAGGUCCUAUGGGGCGCAGCAGGCGCGAAACCUCCGCAAUGGGCGAAAGCCCGACGGGGUCAGUCCGAGUGGCUCCUGCUAAAGGAGUCUUUUGCCAGCUGUAAACAGGCUGGUGAAUAAGGGGUGGGCAAGCCUGGUGUCAGCCGCCGCGGUAAUACCAGCACCCCGAGUGGUCGGGAUGAUUAUUGGGCCUAAAGCAUCCGUAGCCGGUGUAGUAAGUCCUCCGUUAAAUCCACCUGCUCAACAGGUGGGCUGCGGAGGAUACUGCUACACUAGGAGGCGGGAGAGGCGAGGGGUAUUCCACGGGUAGGGGUAAAAUCCUCUGAUCCGUGGAGGACCACCAGUGGCGAAAGCGUCUCGCCAGAACGCGCUCGAC